Molecule: ribosomal RNA, 458 nt
Filed under: uncultured bacterium
Lineage: Bacteria
Description: bacterial SSU rRNA
Rfam family: Bacterial small subunit ribosomal RNA
Source: RNAcentral
AACGAACGCUGGCGGCAUGCCUAACACAUGCAAGUCGAACGGGAUCCUAGCUUGCUAGGUGAGAGUGGCGGACGGGUGAGUAACACGUGGGAAUCUGCCUUUUGGUUCGGGAUAACCGCGGGAAACUGCGGCUAAUACCGAAUGCCCUCGAGAGAGGAAAGAUUUAUCGCCAGAAGAGGAGCCCGCGUCCGAUUAGGUAGUUGGUGGGGUAAAGGCCUACCAAGCCGACGAUCGGUAGCUGGUCUGAGAGGAUGAUCAGCCACACUGGGACUGAGAUACGGCCCAGACUCCUACGGGAGGCAGCAGUGGGGAAUAUUGGACAAUGGGGGCAACCCUAAUCCAGCAAUGCCGCGUGAGUGAUGAAGGCCUUAGGGUUGUAAAGCUCUUUUGCCAGGGAAGAUGAUGACUGUACUUGGAGAAUAAGCCCCGGCUAACUUCGUGCCAGCAGCCGCGGUAAU